Molecule: ribosomal RNA, 254 nt
Filed under: uncultured bacterium
Lineage: Bacteria
Description: partial 16S ribosomal RNA
Rfam family: Bacterial small subunit ribosomal RNA
Source: RNAcentral
UACGUAGGGGCCAAGCGUUGUCCGGAUUUAUUGGGCGUAAAGAGCUCGUAGGCGGUUCGGCAAGUCAGCUGUGAAAUCUCCACGCUCAACGUGGAGGGGUCAGCUGAUACUGCUGUGACUUGAGUCCGGUAGGGGAGUGUGGAAUUCCCGGUGUAGCGGUGAAAUGCGCAGAUAUCGGGAAGAACACCCGUGGCGAAGGCGGUUCCCUGGGACGGUACUGACGCUGAGACGCGAAAGCGUGGGGAGCGAACAGG